UACGGAGGGCGCAAGCGUUGUUCGGAAUUACUGGGCGUAAAGCGCGUGUAGGCGGUUCGGUAAGUCGGGUGUGAAAGCCCGGAGCUCAACUCCGGAAUUGCAUUCGAAACUGCCGGGCUAGAGUCUCGGAGGGGAGGGCAGAAGUCCCAGUGUAGGGGUGAAAUCCGUAGAUAUUGGGAGGAAUACCAGCGGCGAAGGCGGCCCUCUGGACGAUGACUGACGCUCAGACGCGAAAGCGUGGGGAGCAAACAGG
RNAcentral lists this ribosomal RNA (253 nucleotides) under uncultured bacterium. RNAcentral's name for it is "partial 16S ribosomal RNA". It matches the Rfam family "Bacterial small subunit ribosomal RNA", at positions 524 to 776 of the family's 1533-position model. The record is from RNAcentral.